Molecule: ribosomal RNA, 326 nt
Filed under: uncultured bacterium
Lineage: Bacteria
Description: bacterial SSU rRNA
Rfam family: Bacterial small subunit ribosomal RNA
Source: RNAcentral
GAUGAACGCUGGCGGCGUGCUUAACACAUGCAAGUCGAACGAAGCACUUACCAAGGAUUUCUUCGGGAAUGACUAAUAAGUGACUUAGUGGCGGACGGGUGAGUAACGCGUGGGUAACCUGCCCUAUGCAGGGGGAUAACAGUUAGAAAUGACUGCUAACACCGCAUAAGCGCACAGUAUCGCAUGAUACAGUGUGAAAAUAUUUAUAGGCAUAGGAUGGACCCGCGUCUGAUUAGCUAGUUGGUGAGGUAACGGCCCACCAAGGCGACGAUCAGUAGCCGGCUUGAGAGAGUGAACGGCCACAUUGGGACUGAGACACGGCCCAA